This 2252-nucleotide small RNA is filed under the name Pan troglodytes (chimpanzee). RNAcentral's name for it is "retained intron". The record is from RNAcentral. Lineage: Eukaryota; Metazoa; Chordata; Mammalia; Primates; Hominidae.
AUCUGCUUAAAGGGGCCGCGAGCACUUACCUCCCGCCCUGCUCCCCGCCGCCCCGCCACCGCGUCUUCAGGGCUCCCGGCAACUGGCUGGAAGGGCUUCCCUCACCCUCAGUAACAGCCUGCCAGCGAGGAGAGGCGAGCCGGGCGGGAGGCAAAGAGGAGGCACCGCAUUUGUAAAAGGCAAGAGAGAAAGGAAGGAAGGAAAAAAAAUAACCCGAGCGGCGCAGAGUGGACUCUGGUCCGGGAGAGCACGGGCGGGCGCCGGAACGUGGACCCAGAGGUACCGGAAUGCAAACAAAGCUCGCGGGCGCCUGUGCGGGGCUCGCGGGGAAGCCCAGAAAGUUUGUUUUAUGAUGGCUUGAGUGCGCGAGCGUGUGCAGGGGAGCGAGGCUGCCAAGUUUCUCUCUCCUGUUUUGUGAUUUGGGGAGAGAUGUUUCUCCCAUGAACAGGCGGAGGCUUGGGGGCUCGUGCUGUGGGGGGCACCUGUCUCUCGUUUUAUUUUAUUUUUUUGGAGGAGGGGUGUAACUCAUCAUGUCCAAAGUGAUCCAGAAGAAGAACCACUGGACUAGCAGGGUUCACGAAUGCACCGUGAAGCGGGGACCCCAGGGCGAGCUGGGGGUGACGGUGCUGGGAGGCGCGGAGCACGGGGAGUUUCCGUACGUCGGAGCGGUGGCGGCGGUCGAGGCAGCGGGGCUUCCCGGCGGCGGCGAGGGCCCGAGGCUGGGCGAAGGGGAGCUGCUUCUGGAAGUGCAGGGGGUCCGGGUGUCCGGCUUGCCCCGCUAUGACGUGCUGGGGGUCAUCGACAGCUGCAAGGAGGCCGUCACCUUCAAGGCCGUCAGACAAGGAGGAAGGCUGAACAAGGACCUGCGACAUUUUCUCAAUCAGCGAUUCCAGAAGGGGUCUCCUGAUCAUGAGCUCCAGCAGACCAUAAGGGAUAACCUUUACCGCCAUGCUGUGCCUUGCACAACCCGAUCUCCCAGAGAAGGAGAAGUGCCUGGCGUGGACUAUAACUUUCUGACUGUGAAGGAGUUCUUGGACCUCGAGCAGAGCGGGACUCUUCUGGAAGUCGGCACCUAUGAAGGAAACUAUUAUGGGACACCCAAGCCUCCUAGCCAGCCAGUCAGUGGGAAAGUGAUCACGACGGAUGCCUUGCACAGCCUUCAGUCUGGCUCUAAGCAGUCGACCCCGAAGCGAACCAAGUCCUACAAUGAUAUGCAAAAUGCUGGCAUAGUCCAUGCGGAGAAUGAGGAGGAGGAUGACGUUCCUGAAAUGAACAGCAGCUUUACAGCAGCCGAUUCUGGUGAACAAGACGAGCACACUCUCCAAGAAACAGCAUUACCACCUGUGAAUAGUAGCAUCAUCGCUGCUCCCAUCACGGACCCUUCUCAGAAGUUCCCUCAAUACCUACCUCUUUCUGCAGAGGAUAAUUUAGGUCCUCUACCUGAAAACUGGGAGAUGGCCUAUACUGAAAAUGGAGAAGUCUAUUUUAUAGACCAUAACACGAAAACAACAUCUUGGUUAGACCCUCGGUGCCUAAACAAGCAGCAGAAGCCUCUGGAAGAGUGUGAAGAUGAUGGUAAGGGGCCAGGCAGGUCUUGGGUUAAGUGAAUUGGGGGCACUGUUCACAUGUGCAAAUUUUAAAGAGUCGUAGCCAGGUCAGUCCGGUCUUAUGUUGAGUUUUUAAAAGGUAAUCCAAUUUCUGCUAAAUGGACUGUGGUUUACAAAAGCAAGAAGAAAGUCAGAGUUGUUUCAAGAGAAGAAUUUGUUUACACAUAAAGACAGAUGCUUACUAAUAUCUCCAUUAGAAGCAGAACAGUCAGAAACUGUUCAAAUGAAGAUACGUCCUCUGUCUUCAGGAACUUAGAGUAAAUUCUAGAAAGUCUCUAGGAAUAAAGAAACCAAAGAUGGUCUGGUCAGUCACACAUUCUCAGGUUUAACCCUAUCUUAUAAAAGUCUUAGGGGGAAAAGUUGGGAGUUUUUCUUGAACUGUACAUAUUUCACAUACUUCCCUAGUCUUGGAGGUAGGGGAAACAGAUCUAGACAUGUUUGAGAAUCUCUGUGUAACUUAGAGUAUACCCACAAUAUGUAGUAAGUGUAUUCUUUUGAGACAGAGGUUGAGGUAUUACCUAGAGCACCACUCUCCCUGUUAAUCUUGGAAAUGAACUAACUGGCUGUAAGAGCUUUUGUUGAAAAAGUUCAUUUCAAGGCUUUGGGUUUUCUAACUACUUCUCCAAAAUGAAAAAAAAAAAAAAA